Galeopterus variegatus (Sunda flying lemur) is the source of this 277-nucleotide long non-coding RNA. RefSeq lists it as uncharacterized. Lineage: Eukaryota; Metazoa; Chordata; Mammalia; Dermoptera; Cynocephalidae. The record is from RefSeq and is a predicted model, not a curated record. The transcript is spliced from 2 exons.
UCUGGUAGUUCGUAGUCUGCUUUGGUCCAGUAAACAGUGCUGAACAGCAGAUUUCAAAACCCAGCUCUGUCUUUCAAGAGCGAGGCUAGAUACUACUGAAGAAUGAUCCUGUUCAACCUCUUGGUUGCCUCUACUGAAUUAUUCCCCUGUUAAAUGGUGAAAGAACUGAUAAUUUUUUAAAUCCUAUCAAAAACAGUAAGAGAAUAUGUGAAUGAACUAUGAUCAAACCUAAAAACCAUUGCCACUGCCGUUAAUAAAACUUGCCAUUUCAACCAAA